Molecule: ribosomal RNA, 268 nt
Filed under: Duganella qianjiadongensis
Lineage: Bacteria; Pseudomonadati; Pseudomonadota; Betaproteobacteria; Burkholderiales; Oxalobacteraceae
Description: partial 23S ribosomal RNA
Rfam family: Bacterial large subunit ribosomal RNA
Source: RNAcentral
UGUGAGGCGAACGCGGCGAACUGAAACAUCUAAGUAGCUGCAGGAAAAGAAAUCAACCGAGAUUCCCAAAGUAGUGGCGAGCGAAAUGGGAAGAGCCUGUACGUGAUAGUCGUUUUGAUAGUGGAAUUCUCUGGAAAGUGAAACCAUAGCGGGUGAUAGUCCCGUACACGAAAUCAAAGCGGUGGUACUAAGCGUACGACAAGUAGGGCGGGACACGAGAAAUCCUGUCUGAAUAUGGGGGGACCAUCCUCCAAGGCUAAAUACUCGU